AUGACCGAGGACGCGGCUAUCGAUAGAUUAAACACACACUCUGCAGAGGUAGCGCACUUUACCCACACCACGGAACCCAUGGCCUCGCACUCCCAUUCGGGUGGACCAAUAGCGUUCCGACAAAACCGAUCUACUGCCAUGACACUCUCCCGGCCACUCCGGCCAACACCCCUUAUGGGUUCAGUCCUGGGUGGCCCCGUACCUACCAAAGGUACCAACGGCCACCGUCGUGGCAAAACGGUCCCAAACGGGGACAUGAGCUCAAAACCUAACCCGGGCACACAAGGCUUAUGUUCGCCUACCUGA
Molecule: ribosomal RNA, 306 nt
Filed under: Triticum aestivum (bread wheat)
Lineage: Eukaryota; Viridiplantae; Streptophyta; Magnoliopsida; Poales; Poaceae
Description: partial small subunit ribosomal RNA
Source: RNAcentral